RNAcentral lists this ribosomal RNA (497 nucleotides) under uncultured bacterium. RNAcentral's name for it is "partial 16S ribosomal RNA". It matches the Rfam family "Bacterial small subunit ribosomal RNA", at positions 28 to 507 of the family's 1533-position model. The record is from RNAcentral.
GAUGAACGCUGGCGGCGUGCCUAAUACAUGCAAGUCGAGCGAACAGACGAGGAGCUUGCUCCUCUGACGUUAGCGGCGGACGGGUGAGUAACACGUGGAUAACCUACCUAUAAGACUGGGAUAACUUCGGGAAACCGGAGCUAAUACCGGAUAAUAUAUUGAACCGCAUGGUUCAAUAGUGAAAGACGGUUUUGCUGUCACUUAUAGAUGGAUCUGCGCCGCAUUAGCUAGUUGGUAAGGUAACGGCUUACCAAGGCAACGAUGCGUAGCCGCCCUGAGAGGGUGAUCGGCCACACGGGAACUGAGACACGGUCCAGACUCCUACGGGAGGCAGCAGUAGGGAAUCUUCCGCAAUGGGCGAAAGCCUGACGGAGCAACGCCGCGUGAGUGAUGAAGGUCUUCGGAUCGUAAAACUCUGUUAUUAGGGAAGAACAAAUGUGUAAGUAACUAUGCACGUCUUGACGGUACCUAAUCAGAAAGCCACGGCUAACUACGUG